Molecule: long non-coding RNA, 365 nt
Organism: Pseudophryne corroboree (corroboree frog)
Lineage: Eukaryota; Metazoa; Chordata; Amphibia; Anura; Myobatrachidae
Exons: 4
Source: RefSeq, a predicted model, not a curated record
CAGGGUUUUAAUGGGGCCCAUGGACUGAGCACUCCCUAUCACAGUGACUUUGGAAGAUGACUACUGAUAAGGAUUUGGAUUACAUCGUCCAGUAAGGUGCUGAACAACAUCUUCUGAUAAAGACUUUGAAUUUUAUCUUCAGAAAAAGAAAUUUAAUAACAUCUUCAGAAGGUGGAACCAUUCUACAGGCAAUGAUGAACUAAUUUCACUAAAUAAUGUGUACUAUUUCCUCAUUCCUCCUGGUUACUAAGACACCCCACCAGUGAGUUUCCUCAGAAAAAUAAAGAAUCUGUAGUCCUCACAUCUAGCCAGGCCACAAAACUGCUACUCUGCCUCAGGCCCACCACACUCUAUUUGGCAGCAGA